AGUGGACGCUGGCGGUAGGCCUAACACAUGCAAGUCGAACGGCAGCACAGUAAGAGCUUGCUCUUACGGGUGGCGAGUGGCGGACGGGUGAGGAAUACAUUGGAAUCUACUUUUUCGUGGGGGAUAACGUAGGGAAACUUACGCUAAUACCGCAUACGACCUACGGGUGAAAGCAGGGGAUCUUCGGACCUUGCGCGAUUGAAUGAGCCGAUGUCGGAUUAGCUAGUUGGCGGGGUAAAGGCCCACCAAGGCGACGAUCCGUAGCUGGUCUGAGAGGAUGAUCAGCCACACUGGAACUGAGACACGGUCCAGACUCCUACGGGAGGCAGCAGUGGGGAAUAUUGGACAAUGGGCGCAAGCCUGAUCCAGCCAUACCGCGUGGGUGAAGAAGGCCUUCGGGUUGUAAAGCCCUUUUGUUGGGAAAGAAAAGCAGCAGGUUAAUACCCCGCUGUUCUGACGGUACCCAAAGAAUAAGCACCGGCUAACUUCGUG
RNAcentral lists this ribosomal RNA (492 nucleotides) under uncultured bacterium. RNAcentral describes it as "partial 16S ribosomal RNA". It matches the Rfam family "Bacterial small subunit ribosomal RNA", at positions 29 to 507 of the family's 1533-position model. The record is from RNAcentral.